AGCAGCCGCGGUAAUUCCAGCUCCAAUAGCGUAUAUUAAAGUUGUUGCAGUUAAAAAGCUCGUAGUUGAAUUUCGGGAUUGACACAUCGGUCGUGCCUUAAGGGGUAUGAACCGGUGUAGUCAAUUUCUCACCUUCUGGAGAACCGCGAUGCCCUUAAUUGGGUGUCGCGGGGAACCAGGACCUUUACUUUGAAAAAAUUAGAGUGUUUAAAGCAGGCAUUUUGCUUGAAUACAUUAGCAUGGAAUAAUAAAAUAGGACGGCAUGAUUCUAUUUUGUUGGUUUCUAGGAUCACCGUAAUGAUUAAUAGGGAUAGUUGGGGGCAUUAGUAUUCAAUUGUCAGAGGUGAAAUUCUUGGAUUUAUUGAAGACUAACUACUGCGAAAGCAUUUGCCAAGGAUGUUUUCAUUAAUCAAGAACGAAAGUUAGGGGAUCGAAGACGAUCAGAUACCG
This 450-nucleotide ribosomal RNA is filed under the name uncultured Glomeromycotina. RNAcentral's name for it is "SSU rRNA". It matches the Rfam family "Eukaryotic small subunit ribosomal RNA", at positions 569 to 1017 of the family's 1831-position model. The record is from RNAcentral. Lineage: Eukaryota; Fungi; Glomeromycota.